AGCGAAAUUCAUUGUCGAGUAAGUUUCGACCUGCACGAAAGGCGUAAUGAUCUUGGCGCUGUCUCGGAGAGAGGCUCGGUGAAAUAGACUUGUCCGUGAAGAUGCGGACUACCUGCACCUGGACAGAAAGACCCUAUGAAGCUUGACUGCAUCUUGGAAUUGGGUUCGGGCUUUUCUUGCGCAGCCUAGGUGGGAGGCGAUGAAGAUUCCCUUCCGGGGGAAUAUGAGCCAUCAUUGAGAGACCACUCUGGAAGAGCUAGAAUCCUAAUGGUGAUCUUUGAAUCAAGACACUUGACAGUUUCAGGUGGGCAGUUUGUCUGGGGCGGAUUCCUUUUAAAGAGUAACAAAGGAGUGCAAAGGUUCCCUCAGUCUGGACGGAAAUCAGACAUUGAGUGUAAAGGCAAAAGGGUGCUUGACUGUAAGACCUACAAGUCAAACAGGGGCGAAAGCCGGCCUUAGUGAUCCGACGAUACCGCGUGGAAGGGUCGUCGCUCAACGGAUAAAAGUUACUCUAGGGAU
RNAcentral lists this ribosomal RNA (519 nucleotides) under Stephanosphaera pluvialis. RNAcentral describes it as "LSU rRNA". It matches the Rfam family "Bacterial large subunit ribosomal RNA", at positions 1958 to 2475 of the family's 2925-position model. The record is from RNAcentral. Lineage: Eukaryota; Viridiplantae; Chlorophyta; Chlorophyceae; Chlamydomonadales; Haematococcaceae.